RNAcentral lists this ribosomal RNA (464 nucleotides) under Vreelandella stevensii. Its description in RNAcentral is "partial 16S ribosomal RNA". It matches the Rfam family "Bacterial small subunit ribosomal RNA", at positions 338 to 795 of the family's 1533-position model. The record is from RNAcentral. Lineage: Bacteria; Pseudomonadati; Pseudomonadota; Gammaproteobacteria; Oceanospirillales; Halomonadaceae.
CCUACGGGGGGCUGCAGUGGGGAAUAUUGGACAAUGGGCGAAAGCCUGAUCCAGCCAUGCCGCGUGUGUGAAGAAGGCCUUCGGGUUGUAAAGCACUUUCAGUGGGGAAGAAAGCCUUGGGGCUAAUACCCUCGAGGAAGGACAUCACCCACAGAAGAAGCACCGGCUAACUCCGUGCCAGCAGCCGCGGUAAUACGGAGGGGCGAGCGUUAAUCGGAAUUACUGGGCGUAAAGCGCGCGUAGGCGGUCUGAUAAGCCGGUUGUGAAAGCCCCGGGCUCAACCUGGGAACGGCAUCCGGAACUGUCAGGCUAGAGUGCAGGAGAGGAAGGUAGAAUUCCCGGUGUAGCGGUGAAAUGCGUAGAGAUCGGGAGGAAUACCAGUGGCGAAGGCGGCCUUCUGGACUGACACUGACGCUGAGGUGCGAAAGCGUGGGUAGCAAACAGGAUUAGAUACCCGAGUAGUC